UCGCCGUUGUGCAGGAAUACGCCGACGU
Molecule: small RNA, 28 nt
Filed under: Bombyx mori (domestic silkworm)
Lineage: Eukaryota; Metazoa; Arthropoda; Insecta; Lepidoptera; Bombycidae
Description: ovarian small RNA-28725
Source: RNAcentral